RNAcentral lists this ribosomal RNA (494 nucleotides) under uncultured bacterium. RNAcentral's name for it is "partial 16S ribosomal RNA". It matches the Rfam family "Bacterial small subunit ribosomal RNA", at positions 28 to 507 of the family's 1533-position model. The record is from RNAcentral.
GACGAACGCUGGCGGCGUGCUUAACACAUGCCAGUCGAACGGAAAGGCCUGCUUUCCCUUGUGGAUUGCGGGUACUCGGGUGGCGAACGGGUGAGUAACACGUGAGUGAUCUGCCCCCAACUUGGGUAUAAGCCUGGGAAACUGGGUCUAAUUCCCGAUAGGACUGCAGGGUGGUGCCUGUGGUGGAAAACGAUUUUCUAGUGGUUGGGGAUGAGCUCGCGGCCUAUCAGCUUGUUGGUGGGGUAAUGGCCUACCAAGGCGGCGACGGGUAGCCGGCCUGAGAGGGUGGACGGCCACAUUGGGACUGAGAUACGGCCCAGACUCCUACGGGAGGCAGCAGUGGGGAAUAUUGCACAAUGGGCGGAAGCCUGAUGCAGCGACGCCGCGUGGGGGAUGACGGCCUUCGGGUUGUAAACUCCUUUCGACCGCGAGGAAGCCACCUGGUUGGAAGGGUGGUGACGGUAGUGGUAGAAGAAGCACCGGCUAACUACGUG